AUUGAACGCUGGCGGCAGGCCUAACACAUGCAAGUCGAACGGCAGCACAGAAGAGCUUGCUCUUUGGGUGGCGAGUGGCGGACGGGUGAGUAAUGUCUGGGAAACUGCCCGAUGGAGGGGGAUAACUACUGGAAACGGUAGCUAAUACCGCAUAACGUCGCAAGACCAAAGUGGGGGACCUUCGGGCCUCACACCAUCGGAUGUGCCCAGAUGGGAUUAGCUAGUAGGUGGGGUAAUGGCUCACCUAGGCGACGAUCCCUAGCUGGUCUGAGAGGAUGACCAGCCUCACUGGAACUGAGACACGGUCCAGACUCCGAGGGGAGGCAGCAGUGGGGAAUAUUGCACAGUGGGCGCAAGCCUGAUGCAGCCAUGCCGCGUGUAUGACGAAGGCCUUCGGGUUGUAAAGUACUUUCAGCGGGGAGGAAGGCGGUGAGGUUAAUAACCUCGCCGAUUGACGUUACCCGCAGAAGAAGCACCGGCUAACUCCGUGCCAGCCGCCGCAGUAA
Molecule: ribosomal RNA, 506 nt
Filed under: uncultured bacterium
Lineage: Bacteria
Description: partial 16S ribosomal RNA
Rfam family: Bacterial small subunit ribosomal RNA
Source: RNAcentral